GGAUUGUGGCUCAGUGGUACAGUGCUUGCCUGGUACGAGUGAGGCAUCGAGUUCGAUCCUCAGCACCA
Molecule: transfer RNA, 68 nt
Filed under: Marmota monax (woodchuck)
Lineage: Eukaryota; Metazoa; Chordata; Mammalia; Rodentia; Sciuridae
Description: tRNA.Thr
Source: RNAcentral